UACGGGGGGGGCAAGCGUUGUUCGGAAUUACUGGGCGUAAAGGGCUCGUAGGCGGCCAACUAAGUCAGACGUGAAAUCCCUCGGCUUAACCGGGGAACUGCAUCUGAUACUGGAUGGCUUGAGUUCGGGAGAGGGAUGCGGAAUUCCAGGUGUAGCGGUGAAAUGCGUAGAUAUCGGGAGGAACACCAAUGGCGAAGGCAGCUCGCUGGGACGUUACUGACGCUGAGACGCGAAAGCGUGGGGAGCAAACAGG
This 253-nucleotide ribosomal RNA is filed under the name uncultured bacterium. RNAcentral's name for it is "partial 16S ribosomal RNA". It matches the Rfam family "Bacterial small subunit ribosomal RNA", at positions 524 to 776 of the family's 1533-position model. The record is from RNAcentral.